CUCGUAGGCGGCUUGUUAAGUCGGAUGUGAAAGCCCUGGGCUCAACCUGGGAACUGCAUUCGAUACUGGCAAACUAGAGUAUAGUAGAGGCAAGUGGAAUUCCGGGUGUAGCGGUGAAAUGCGUAGAUAUCCGGAGGAACAUCAGCGGCGAAGGCGACUUGCUGGACUAAUACUGACGCUGAGGAGCGAAAGCGUGGGGAGCAAACG
RNAcentral lists this ribosomal RNA (207 nucleotides) under uncultured bacterium. RNAcentral describes it as "partial 16S ribosomal RNA". It matches the Rfam family "Bacterial small subunit ribosomal RNA", at positions 568 to 774 of the family's 1533-position model. The record is from RNAcentral.